CCUACGGGAGGCUGCAGUGGGGAAUAUUGGACAAUGGGGGCAACCCUGAUCCAGCCAUGCCGCGUGUGUGAAGAAGGCCCUCGGGUUGUAAAGCACUUUCAGUGAGGAAGAACGCCUGGUGGUUAAUACCCAUCAGGAAAGACAUCACUCUCAGAAGAAGCACCGGCUAACUCCGUGCCAGCAGCCGCGGUAAUACGGAGGGUGCGAGCGUUAAUCGGAAUUACUGGGCGUAAAGCGCGCGUAGGUGGCUUGAUAAGCCGGUUGUGAAAGCCCCGGGCUCAACCUGGGAACGGCAUCCGGAACUGUCAAGCUAGAGUGCAGGAGAGGAAGGUAGAAUUCCCGGUGUAGCGGUGAAAUGCGUAGAGAUCGGGAGGAAUACCAGUGGCGAAGGCGGCCUUCUGGACUGACACUGACACUGAGGUGCGAAAGCGUGGGUAGCAAACAGGAUUAGAUACCCCGGUAGUC
Molecule: ribosomal RNA, 465 nt
Filed under: Vreelandella stevensii
Lineage: Bacteria; Pseudomonadati; Pseudomonadota; Gammaproteobacteria; Oceanospirillales; Halomonadaceae
Description: partial 16S ribosomal RNA
Rfam family: Bacterial small subunit ribosomal RNA
Source: RNAcentral